Molecule: ribosomal RNA, 252 nt
Filed under: uncultured bacterium
Lineage: Bacteria
Description: partial 16S ribosomal RNA
Rfam family: Bacterial small subunit ribosomal RNA
Source: RNAcentral
UACGGAGGGUGCGAACGUUAAUCGGAAUCACUGGGCGUAAAGCGCGCGUAGGCGGUUUGUUAAGUGGGAUGUGAAAUCCCCGGGCUUAACCUGGGAAUUGCAUUUCAAACUGGCCGACUAGAGUACGGUAGAGGGAGGUAGAAUUUCCUGUGUAGCGGUGAAAUGCGUAGAUAUAGGAAGAACACCCGUGGCGAAGGCGGCUCUCUGGGACGGUACUGACGCUGAGACGCGAAAGCGUGGGGAGCGAACAGG